CUUCUCCCUCUCUCUCUCUCUCUCUAAAAACGUUCCCUGCUAUUAUAAAAAAAAAAACGCAACCUGUUAUUCCUUCUGGUUCCUUCCUUGCCUCUCUCGCUCUCUCCUUUUUUUUCCUGAAAAAAAGGUCAGAGAGGGAGAGAGAGAGAGAGCGCCGCACACACCGUAA
Vicia faba (fava bean) is the source of this 169-nucleotide non-coding RNA. Lineage: Eukaryota; Viridiplantae; Streptophyta; Magnoliopsida; Fabales; Fabaceae. The record is from the annotation of a GenBank genome assembly.